GUGCCACCUUUUUUUGUAUUUAAGAUUCCACUGCUAAUUUUAUAUUGCAGAAGAGAAAGUAAUAAGGCUUGACAGCCAUUGUCUUUCCGCAAACAGCACAGCCUUUAUCUCGGCAUUUCACAACCGUUCGGCAAACCAGAGCAAACACACUCAGUCCUGUUUUGCAGAUAAGGACCCGGAGAGCCCAGGUCGGGGAUGCGUUGUGCCACGCGUGCAGCCUGGAGCGCGUCCCCCGCGGCGGCUGGAACAGCAGCCACGCACAGCUGAGCUGCAGCAUCGGGAGAAAUGAGACCUUGGAUGAAGCUCCUGUCAGCAAUGAGUCUGAUCAAGCACUGUGUGCAUCUGACAGCCAGCUUGGCACCACCUCGCAGCAGCUGGGCUUCAAUGGAUUUCAUGUGCAAGUAGGCCUGAAAGACAUAUUAAUUUUUAAUUGAAUGUUUAAGUUUCAGGUGUAGGAGGUCUUCUUAAGAGACGUCUCAGUAAUAUGUAUGCUGCUAUGAAUGAAGAGGUAGGUCUUAAGCUAUGUGUUGUUGGUAAGCAAACCAAAACUCUCUACUGAGAAUAAAAAUAUAUAUAUACAUGUGUAUAUAUGUGUGUGUGUGUAUCCAUAUAAAAGUAUAUUUUUAAAGAAAGACAUCUGGCAGAAGUAACGCCUUUGCAGCAAUGAAAGCCUCCUGCCUUGCUCCAGUUUGCAUUCAGCGCUGUGGCAGUUUCAAAGACCUUGAUGGCUGGGGCAGCUGCGUGCAGGAGGAAGUCACAGACGUUGGUGCAAAGAGUUUCGAUCAGAAGGGAAAAAUCCUAAAAAUAAUGCCAUAAGCUAAUGCUGAUACGCAUGGAAAGAGCUUGGCAGAAUUACGUAAAGGAUUGAAUGGUAUGGUGUAGAUUUCUAUGCAGGGAAGGCUGGCUUGGUUUAUUUGUUUUGGUGGCGAAUAUCUAGGAAAAAGAGCCGAAGUGGAAGAGGACAUGAAGAGAGAGAGAGAGUGUUAAUGGUUUGGGCUCUGGAGAGAUAUGACUAGAAAAUUAAUUUUCCCUAUGGAAAGAAUUGCAUCUAUUUCACCACACGGUUUUUCAGCUAUUUAGCCCUCUUCAGAACAUACUGGCUUCCUAGCAAGCUUUUUAGGAGUUUGGCAGAAGGUAUGCAGAGCUGGACUUCGAUGCUACUCUCUUCUUUGUGGAUGCUUUCCUACAAAUGCUAAAAAAGCAACUCUGGAAUAUCAUAGCAUUUCUUCUCAUAGGCAUCUAUACAUGUUUUGUUAGUAAGCACCAUAUGUCACUCUUUAAACAGCCCAGUAUUGUAUUUACUGGGACCCGAGUGUAUGUGGUAAGUAACAUCACAGCUCCUGUAUGUGGUGUACCAGCUAUAAUUACACAAAACUUCAAUAAACAAGUCGUUUUAAUCAUUUCUCUCCCUUUCAGAAAUGUGUUUAUAUAUGUGUUGUUCUCUUACCCACAGUGAAGGAGUGUUUAGAACGUGUCAUUAAGGGUAACAGAUGUAUUUGAAUAAGGGCUUUUUUGGAUGUCUGACUGUUCAUUGGGAUAAGUCCUUGAAGAUAGGGCAGUUCUGAAAUGUGAAGGCAGCAUUAAAUAAAAAAUUUUUUUAAAACCCAAACAAACAACCCAUGCCACUCUCCCUGAGUGAAAACCUACAAUGGAAUGAAUCACCCUUUUAACUAAUUGCAAAAUUCUUUAGACAUGUUUCUCCUACAGCAACUGGGCCAGCUUUAGGCUGAUUGAUGGGGCUUGUGAAAUGAUCUUUAGGACCUUCCACUCUGAUCAAAAAAUCUUCCCAACUCCUAAUAGUCCAGCUGGCCUGGAGACAGACCGAGGGACAUCUUCAUAGAUCCUUGGGAUGCAUUCAAAAAUGCAGUCUUUCUUUUAGCAAUGUAAGUAUAUAUAAGUCUUUGGUACUUUUCCAGCCGCUCACUUAAACUUGACUUUGUAUUGAGCGCUAGGUGUGAAAGAAAUAUACAUGUCUUUAAAUCUUAACUAGAAAAGGAUUUUUGUUUAUUUAAUUUAGAAGCUGGCAUUCUGCCUUGUGCUUUUUCUACUUGCUAAUAGCAGGCAACUUCAAUCUCUGCCAGGUCCUGAGAACGGCUAGAGGCACUGAGUACACAAGAGGACGGGAUUUACACCUUUGCAUUUGGCUGACUUUGCCUAAUUUGGCAGAAAAAAAAUCUUUGGCAUUCCUGGUUUUAAGAAAUCUGCAAACUAAGCAAGGUUUGCUGAACUGUUGCCUGAUGUCUAGGAGUUGCUAAACUGUGAUAGCAUUUUGACAAUGAAAUGGCUAAAAUAGCACAAGCGUUGCUCCUGUUAUUUCUAAAACACCUUGGGACCAUCCUAGAAUUUACUUGCUUUUAUUUUCCUAAACAGUCUGGUACUAGAGACAAGGUUUGCAGUUAACAUUCAUCCCACGUGUUUUUCAUUAAUGCACAUAUUUGUUAAAUGCUUGUUCUGCUAAGAUACGUACUUGAUUUAAAAAACAAAAUAAAAUUGGAAAACUUU
This is a long non-coding RNA of Aquila chrysaetos chrysaetos, 2502 nucleotides long. RefSeq lists it as uncharacterized. NCBI's taxonomy places the organism in Eukaryota, Metazoa, Chordata, Aves, Accipitriformes, Accipitridae. The record is from RefSeq and is a predicted model, not a curated record. The transcript has 2 exons.